Molecule: ribosomal RNA, 369 nt
Filed under: uncultured phototrophic eukaryote
Lineage: Eukaryota
Description: SSU rRNA
Rfam family: Bacterial small subunit ribosomal RNA
Source: RNAcentral
UACGGGGGAUGCAAGCGUUAUCCGGAAUCAUUGGGCGUAAAGCGCCUGUAGGUGGUUUACCAAGUUUGUUGUUAAAGGUCAGAGCUUAACUCUGGAAAAGCAAUAGAAACUAGUAAGCUUGAGUAUAGUAGAGGUAGAGGGAAUUUCUAGUGUAGCGGUGAAAUGCGUAGAUAUUAGAAAGAACACCGGUGGCGAAAGCGCUCUACUGGACUAUUACUGACACUCAGAGGCGAAAGCUAGGGGAGCGAAAGGGAUUAGAUACCCCUGUAGUCCUAGCCGUAAACGAUGGAUACUAGGUGUUGUGUUUUAAAUACAGUAUCGUAGCUAACGCGUUAAGUAUCCCGCCUGGGGAGUACGCUCGCAAGGGUG